RNAcentral lists this ribosomal RNA (497 nucleotides) under uncultured bacterium. Its description in RNAcentral is "partial 16S ribosomal RNA". It matches the Rfam family "Bacterial small subunit ribosomal RNA", at positions 28 to 507 of the family's 1533-position model. The record is from RNAcentral.
GAUGAACGCUGGCGGCGUGCCUAAUACAUGCAAGUCGAGCGAACAGAUGAUGAGCUUGCUCCUCUGACGUUAGCGGCGGACGGGUGAGUAACACGUGGAUAACCUACCUAUAAGACUGGGAUAACUUCGGGAAACCGGAGCUAAUACCGGAUAAUAUAUUGAACCGCAUGGUUCAAUAGUAAAAGACGGUUUUGCUGUCACUUAUAGAUGGAUCCGCGCCGCAUUAGCUAGUUGGUAAGGUAACGGCUUACCAAGGCAACGAUGCGUAGCCGACCUGAGAGGGUGAUCGGCCACCUUAGAACUUGGACAGGGUCCAGACUCCUACGGGAGGCAGCAGUAGGGAAUCUUACGCAAUGGGCGAAAGCCUGACGGAGCAACGCCGCGUGAGUGAUGAAGGUCUUCGGAUCGUAAAACUCUGUUAUCAGGGAAGAACAAAUGUGUAAGUAACUAUGCACGUCUUGACGGUACCUAAUCAGAAAGCCACGGCUAACUACGUG